GUUAAUGGGUGAUGGCGUGCCUUUUGUAGAAUGAACCGGCGAGUUACGAUUUGAUGCAAGGUUAAGCAGUAAAUGUGGAGCCGUAGCGAAAGCGAGUCUGAAUAGGGCGUUUAGUAUUUGGUCGUAGACCCGAAACCAGGUGAUCUACCCUUGGUCAGGUUGAAGUUCAGGUAACACUGAAUGGAGGACCGAACCGACUUACGUUGAAAAGUGAGCGGAUGAACUGAGGGUAGCGGAGAAAUUCCAAUCGAACCUGGAGAUAGCUGGUUCUCUCCGAAAUAGCUUUAGGGCUAGCCUCAAGUGAUGAUUAUUGGAGGUAGAGCACUGUUUGGACGAGGGGCCCCUCUCGGGUUACCGAAUUCAGACAAACUCCGAAUGCCAAUUAAUUUAACUUGGGAGUCAGAACAUGGGUGAUAAGGUCCGUGUUCGAAAGGGAAACAGCCCAGACCACCAGCUAAGGUCCCAAAAUAUAUGUUAAGUGGAAAAGGAUGUGGCGUUGCCCAGACAACUAGGAUGUUGGCUUAGAAGCAGCCAUCAUUUAAAGAGUGCGUAAUAGCUCACUAGUCGAGUGACACUGCGCCGAAAAUGUACCGGGGCUAAACAUAUUACCGAAGCUGUGGAUUGUCCUUUGGACAAUGGUAGGAGAGCGUUCUAAGGGCGUUGAAGCAUGAUCGUAAGGACAUGUGGAGCGCUUAGAAGUGAGAAUGCCGGUGUGAGUAGCGAAAGACGGGUGAGAAUCCCGUCCACCGAUUGACUAAGGUUUCCAGAGGAAGGCUCGUCCGCUCUGGGUUAGUCGGGUCCUAAGCUGAGGCCGACAGGCGUAGGCGAUGGAUAACAGGUUGAUAUUCCUGUACCACCUAUAAUCGUUUUAAUCGAUGGGGGG
RNAcentral lists this ribosomal RNA (883 nucleotides) under Staphylococcus aureus. RNAcentral describes it as "partial 23S ribosomal RNA". It matches the Rfam family "Bacterial large subunit ribosomal RNA", at positions 585 to 1471 of the family's 2925-position model. Lineage: Bacteria; Bacillati; Bacillota; Bacilli; Caryophanales; Staphylococcaceae. The record is from RNAcentral.